This is a long non-coding RNA of Sapajus apella (tufted capuchin), 93 nucleotides long. RefSeq lists it as uncharacterized. Lineage: Eukaryota; Metazoa; Chordata; Mammalia; Primates; Cebidae. The transcript has 3 exons. The record is from RefSeq and is a predicted model, not a curated record.
GGCCAGGCUGAAGCGGUAAUGUCAAGGGUCAGUCAGAUGCAGCUAGCCAAGAGGAGAGGGAGAGCCAGACUGCACACGAGGGCCAGCACAGGC